RNAcentral lists this ribosomal RNA (813 nucleotides) under uncultured Bacillota bacterium. Its description in RNAcentral is "bacterial SSU rRNA". It matches the Rfam family "Bacterial small subunit ribosomal RNA", at positions 74 to 902 of the family's 1533-position model. Lineage: Bacteria; Bacillati; Bacillota. The record is from RNAcentral.
UACCAGCAAUGGUGCGUUAGUGGCGAACGGUCGCGUAACACGUAAGCAACCUGCCCUAAGGUGGGGGAUAACAGUCCGAAAGGAUUGCUAAUACCGCAUGUGGUUCCGAGGCGGCAUCGCUUUGGAUCUAAAGAUUUAUCGCCAUAGGAUGGGCUUGCGGCCUAUCAGGUAGUUGGUGGGGUAACAGCCUACCAAGCCGACGACGGGUAGCUGGUCUGAGAGGACGAUCAGCCGGAUUGGGACUGAGAUACGGCCCAGACUCCUACGGGGGGCAGCAAUUAGGAAUCUUGCGCAAUGGGGGCAACCCUGACGCAGCGACGCCGCGUGAAGGAUGAAGGAUUUCGGUCUGUAAACUUCUUUAGUGGGGGACGAAGAAUGUGACGGUACCCCAAAAAUAAGCCCCGGCUAACUACGUGCCAGCAGCCGCGGUAAUACGUAGGGGGCGAGCGUUGUCCGAAGUUACUGGGCGUAAAGCGCGCGUAGGCGGCUAACUAAGUCUGAGGUGAAAGGUUCAACGCUCAACGUGAACAGUGCCUUGGAGACUGGUUGGCUUGAGUGUGGCAGAGGAGCAUGGAAUUCCUGGUGUAGCGGUGAAAUGCGUAGAGAUCAGGAGGAAUACCAAUGGCGAAGGCAGUGCUCUGGGCUAACACUGACGCUGAGGUGCGAAAGCGUGGGUAGCGAACGGGAUUAGAUACCCCGGUAGUCCACGCCGUAAACGAUGAGUGCUAGGUGUAGGCGGUAUCGACCCCGCCUGUGCCGUCGUUAACACAUUAAGCACUCCGCCUGGGGAGUACGGCCGCAAGGUUGAAACUC